UCUCUCUAAACUCUCGAAACCUUUCUCUCUAAGCUCCGGGAACUCCCAACCCCUCUUCUCCUCGAAUCAACAACAAAUCAAGCCCAAAUAUAUAUAUAUUUGGAAUCCUUGAGACUUAACGAACUCAAUGGUACCCUUGCAUGCGCCAUCAGAGCAUCGUGGAGUUUUCUUCCAUUGAAGCCGAGAGCUUCAAAGCUCUAAAACUCGAACCAGGUGAGAAGUGUGUUCCUUCUUCAAAUUUCUGGAUUAUGCAUGUUGGUUUUAUGACAAAACUCAAGGGUUUUGAUCUCAGUUUUUCCCUAUGCUAAUAAUCUAGCUCCGACGAUGAACUCCGGCGAGUUCGAGGUCCAUCUCUUCCCAAAACCUGCUGCAGUGCGUCCAGGUGAGUUCUUAGGUAUAUUUGUGAGGUUUUAGAACCCUUUAUUCAAGCCCUAACCCUUACCAUCCUUUGUGCAUGCAUGUCCGGUUCCGACGACGAACUCCGGCGAGUUCGUGGGUGUGUGUGUGUGUACGGGGUGCAGGUGUGCGUGUUUGUGUGCAGGUGUG
Molecule: long non-coding RNA, 546 nt
Filed under: Malus domestica (apple)
Lineage: Eukaryota; Viridiplantae; Streptophyta; Magnoliopsida; Rosales; Rosaceae
Description: long non-coding RNA (MDOM_LNC009950)
Source: RNAcentral